AAACUCCAAAUACUAAAAUCCUCUUUUUCAAGAAAUACAAUUUUCAUGAGUUGAGCUGGAAUACUAUUAAUAAUAUUUAAGCUUUUUUCCUAUCGAUUUUUUAAUCGUUCGAUCUACACUUUAAUCAAUUCCACCCUUUAGAUCAUACUAUUCAACCAAUGACGCACUCAACCCUAGGGGGACCACUACUAAACCCUAGGUUUCGUUUGUUUCGAGGUCAAGUAAAAACUAGUUAUUUCAGGGAUAGGUAUAAGUUAGCAGUCUGGAAGAAACCAAUUUUGCUUUUGGAUGGAAAUUGAACUGUUUCCGAUAAUAAGAAAAAUAACAUUUGGAUAGAUAAAGUGGUAUAAGAAUAAUAGUAGGUAGUUAUAAAUAGAAAAUAAUGAUAUUGCCCCUUAUAUUNUCCAGCUAAGUUUAUUUCUAAAUGAAAUAAACGAAAUAGGUAGCGUGCUAUGUAUCUCUCAAAAAAAUAAAAUAAAAUUAAAUAAAAUUAAAAAAAAAAAAACUUCACCUCCCAAAAAAGAUGUUUGGGAAUAAGGGGAAAGGGAUAACCCCUCAAAGGCACCGACCGUUCCUAGAGUAAGUGGCAAAGGGCUUGAUGGUUAAUUGGUACCCGAGGUCCUAAGUUCGAAUUCUAGUUGAUUCAUAUUUCUAUCUAAAUUUAUUUUUAAAUGAAAUAAACGAAGCGGGUAGUGUGCUAUCUAUCUCUCUUAAAAAAAGAAAAAAGAAAAAGAAAAAAAAAAAUCCACCUCCCAAAACGGUGUCAAGCCUUAGGUGCUAUUGGAGCAACUUCCACCUGAUCAAAAGAUGGAUCACUCACAAUGUGGAGCACAAGGCAAUUGAGCACAAGAAGACGGCUAGCCUGAGCCUAAGGGUCGAGCAGUCCACCACUACUAGGUGGUUGCAGGAUGUGCAAGUAGGGUACGUGGAUCUGUAGUAAAUGUUUCCAUAUAUAUAUAUAUAUAUAUAUAUAGAGAGAGAGAGAGAGAGAGAGAGAGAGAGUUGAUCUAGGAUACUUACAAGUAUCAUCCUUAUGUUGCUAUCACGUUUUUAGCCAUAGGAUUUACUUUUUGAUUACAAAUAGUUCUUGAAUCAAACACUAUUCCACCUACCACCUCCUACCACCACCUACCACCAUCAUCUCAAUCUCACAUCUUUUCAUCCAAGGACUCAAAACACACAAGUAUCACUUGGGUGGUACUUGUAAAAGUAUUCUAGCCCUACUAUAUAUAUAUAUAUAUAUAUAUAUAUAUAUAUAAAUCUCGCGAUAUGAGAGUCUAUGCGUACGUGCAUGUUGCGGAGAACAAGUACCCUCGAUAGUUUGUGCUCAGCAACGGAUUUCUAGAUCUGCAUCGGGAGCUGGCUGGUGAUCGUGCUCAGCAGAGCAAGGCACUCGAUGCUCGUGAGAGCACGAUAGACUACGAGCGAGGCUAUGCAAUCUAGGAUUUGCACAGAUGCACGAUGAAUACGUCUACGCUAUAGGUGGGGAAGGGUUUUUUAAAAAUAAGUAUAAGUAAAAGCUAAGAGUUACUUGGUUCUUUACAUUCUCUAUAAUCAAUAAAUGGUUCAUUUUUAUUUUUACUCACCUGGCCUAUAAAUAGGAAGCCCUCAAACCAGCCACAAACUCCAAAUAUUAAAAUCCUCUUUUUCAAGAAAUACAAUUUUCAUGAGUUGAGCUGGAAUACUAUUAAUAAUAUUUAAGCUUUUUUGCUAUCAAUUUUUUAAUCUUUCGAUCUACACUUUAAUCAAUUCCACCCUUUAGAUCAUACUAUUCAACGAAUGACACACUCAACCCUAGGGGGACCACUACUAAACCCUAGGUUUCGUUUGGUUCGAGGUAAAGUAAAAACUAGUUAUUUCAGGAAUAGGUAUAAGUUAGCGGCCUGGAAGAGAUCAAUUUUGUGUCUGGCUGAAAAUUGAGUUGUUUCCAAAAAUAGCAUUUGGUUAGAUAAAGUGGAAUAAGAAUAAUAGUAGGUAGUUAUAAAUAGAAAAUAAUGAUAUUUUUCCUUAUAUUUAAACAUAAAUUUUUAAAUUUUAUAUUUAAAAUUUAAAAUUUAAAUAUAUAACUUUAAAAAUUAAAAAAUUCAAAAUAAAAUUUUAAUUUUUAAAUAUCAAAUUCAAAAUUUUAAAGUUUUAAAUUAUAAAUUUAA
RNAcentral lists this long non-coding RNA (2150 nucleotides) under Ananas comosus (pineapple). RNAcentral's name for it is "long non-coding RNA (ACOM_LNC011667)". The record is from RNAcentral. Lineage: Eukaryota; Viridiplantae; Streptophyta; Magnoliopsida; Poales; Bromeliaceae.